CCCUCCCAGCACCGUGAGGGACAGGGCACAGCAGGCACUAGCCACUACUCACAGUCACCCAGUGACUCAAUGGCCAAGUCAGACCUCAAGCCCAAGUCUUCUGACUUUCAAUCUGAUUCUCUUUCCACGACAGCCUCUCAUUCUCAAAUUUCUGGGGCUAUAUUCCUCAGUAAUCCUUAUGCAGAAGAGGGGAGAGGCAGGCUGAGAGCAAUAGAAGAAGAGGAUAAAGAAGAACCUCACCUGGGAGGAAUGGAAAAGAGAAGUCAGUGGAGGGAAAACUUCUGCUCCAAACCAAUUUCACGUGAUCUUCGAUUCCUCUCCUCAGCUCCCAAAGGGGAGCUCUGACAAUCAGCCACCUCAGCAACACCUAAUAGUUACAAAUAUAAUAGUUAUAAAUAUAAGAA
Molecule: long non-coding RNA, 404 nt
Organism: Antechinus flavipes (yellow-footed antechinus)
Lineage: Eukaryota; Metazoa; Chordata; Mammalia; Dasyuromorphia; Dasyuridae
Exons: 2
Source: RefSeq, a predicted model, not a curated record